GCUUAGAUAGUUUAAUGAAAACAUUGGUCUUGUAAACCAAAAAUAAAAAUUUUUUUCUAAACA
RNAcentral lists this transfer RNA (63 nucleotides) under Typhlatya galapagensis. Its description in RNAcentral is "tRNA-Thr". It matches the Rfam family "tRNA". From Rfam's summary of the family: Transfer RNA (tRNA) molecules are approximately 80 nucleotides in length. Their secondary structure includes four short double-helical elements and three loops (D, anti-codon, and T loops). Lineage: Eukaryota; Metazoa; Arthropoda; Malacostraca; Decapoda; Atyidae. The record is from RNAcentral.